RNAcentral lists this ribosomal RNA (497 nucleotides) under uncultured bacterium. RNAcentral's name for it is "partial 16S ribosomal RNA". It matches the Rfam family "Bacterial small subunit ribosomal RNA", at positions 28 to 507 of the family's 1533-position model. The record is from RNAcentral.
GAUGAACGCUGGCGGCGUGCCUAAUACAUGCAAGUCGAGCGAACAGACGAGGAGCUUGCUCCUCUGACGUUAGCGGCGGACGGGUGAGUAACACGUGGAUAACCUACCUAUAAGACUGGGAUAACUUCGGGAAACCGGAGCUAAUACCGGAUAAUCUAUUGAACCGCAUGGUUCAAUAGUGAAAGACGGUUUUGCUGUCUCUUAUAGAUGGAUCCCGGCCGCAUGAGCUAGUUGGUAAGGUAACGGCUUACCAAGGCGAGGAGGCGUAGCCGACCUGAGAGGCUGAUAGGCGACAUGGGAACGGAGCCACGGUCCAGAGGCCUACGGGAGGCAGCAGAAGGCAAUCUGCCGCAGUGGGCGAAAGCCUGACGGAGCAGCGCCGCGUGAGUGAUGAAGAUCUUCGGAUCGUAAAGCUCUGUUAUUAGUGGAGAACAAAUGUGUAAGUUACUAUACACGUCUUGACGGUACCGAAUCAGAAAGCCACGGCUAACUACGUG